GAUGAACGCUGACAGAAUGCUUAACACAUGCAAGUCGAUGGGGAAGGCUGAGCUUGCUUAGCUGGUAACCAUGGCGGACGGGUGAGUAACGCGUAAGGAACUUACCUGCGGGACUGGGAUAACGGAGGGAAACUUCUGACAAGACCGGAUAAAGUUACUGGGCAGCAUUGUUUGGUAAUGAAAGGGAACGCCUGCGGAGAGUCUUGCGUCCUAUUAGCUAGUUGGUUGGGUAACGGUUGACCAAGGCGAAGAUAGGUAGCCGGCCUGAGAGGGUGGACGGCCACAAGGGGACUGAGAUACGGCCCUUACUCCUACGGGAGGCAGCAGUGGGGAAUAUUGGACAAUGGGGGCAACCCUGAUCCAGCAAUUCUGUGUGCACGAAGAAGGUUUUCGGAUUGUAAAGUGCUUUCAGCAGGGAAGAAGUAAGUGACGGUACCUGCAGAAGAAGCGACGGCUAAAUACGUGCCAGCAGCCGCGGUAAUACGUAUGUCGCGAGCGUUAUCCGGAAUUAUUGGGCAUAAAGGGCAUCUAGGCGGCCUAACAAGUCAGGGGUGAAAACCUGCGGCUCAACCGCAGGCCUGCCUUUGAAACUGUAAGGCUGGAGUACCGGAGAGGUGGACGGAACUGCACGAGUAGAGGUGAAAUUCGUAGAUAUGUGCAGGAAUGCCGAUGAUGAAGAUAGUCCACUGGACGGAAACUGACGCUGAAGUGCGAAAGCCGGGGGAGCGAACAGG
RNAcentral lists this ribosomal RNA (734 nucleotides) under uncultured Leptotrichia sp. RNAcentral's name for it is "bacterial SSU rRNA". It matches the Rfam family "Bacterial small subunit ribosomal RNA", at positions 28 to 776 of the family's 1533-position model. The record is from RNAcentral. Lineage: Bacteria; Fusobacteriati; Fusobacteriota; Fusobacteriia; Fusobacteriales; Leptotrichiaceae.